GUCCACACCGUAAACGAUGGAUACUAGGUGUCCGGGACUUCGGUCCUGGGUGCCCAAGGGAAACCGAUAAGUAUCCCACCUGGGGAGUACGUCCGCAAGGAUGAAACUCAAAGGAAUUGACGGGGCCCGCACAAGCGGUGGAGCAUGUGGUUUAAUUCGAUGAUACGCGAGGAACCUUACCUGGGCUAGAAUGCCCUCGACCGGCCGUGAAAGCGGUCUUCCCUUCGGGGCGAGGUGCAAGGUGCUGCAUGGUUGUCGU
This 259-nucleotide ribosomal RNA is filed under the name uncultured bacterium. RNAcentral describes it as "partial 16S ribosomal RNA". It matches the Rfam family "Bacterial small subunit ribosomal RNA", at positions 793 to 1055 of the family's 1533-position model. The record is from RNAcentral.